CAGCGACGCCGCGUGGGCGACGAAGCUCUUUGGAGUGUAAAGCCCUGUCAGGUGGGACGGAAUCCGGAGGGAGUGAACAACUCGCCUUCGCUGACGGUACCACCAGAGGAAGCCCCGGCUAACUCCGUGCCAGCAGCCGCGGUAAUACGGAGGGGGCGAGCGUUGUUCGGAAUCACUGGGUGUAAAGGGUGCGUAGGCGGUCCGAUAAGUCUGAUGUGAAAGCCCUGGGCUCAACUCAGGAACUGCAUUGGAAACUGACGGACUGGAGUACCGGAGAGGGAAGCGGAAUUCCUGGUGUAGCGGUGAAAUGCGUAGAUACCAGGAGGAACACCGGUGGCGAAGGCGGUUUCCUGGCCGAGUACUGACGCUGAGGCACGAAAGCGUGGGGAGCGAACGGGAUUAGAUACCCCGGUAGUCCACGCUGUAAACGAUGGGUGCUAGGUGUUGGAGGUAUCGACCCCUUCAGUGCCGUAGCUAACGCUUUAAGCACCCCACCUGGGGAGUACGUUCGCAAGAAUG
RNAcentral lists this ribosomal RNA (519 nucleotides) under uncultured bacterium. RNAcentral's name for it is "bacterial SSU rRNA". It matches the Rfam family "Bacterial small subunit ribosomal RNA", at positions 389 to 896 of the family's 1533-position model. The record is from RNAcentral.